Molecule: ribosomal RNA, 494 nt
Filed under: uncultured bacterium
Lineage: Bacteria
Description: partial 16S ribosomal RNA
Rfam family: Bacterial small subunit ribosomal RNA
Source: RNAcentral
GACGAACGCUGGCCGCGUGCUUAACACAUGCAAGUCGAACGGUGAAGCGCCUUCCUUUUUGGUGGGUGUGGAUGAGUGGCGAACGGGUGAGUAACACGUGAGUAACCUGCCCCCUUCUUCUGGAUAACCGCAUGAAAGUGUGGCUAAUACGGGAUAUUCUGGGUCUGUCGCAUGAUGGGUCUGGGAAAGAUAUUGUUUCGGUGGGGGAUGGGCUCGCGGCCUAUCAGCUUGUUGGUGGGGUGAUGGCCUACCAAGGCGGUGACGGGUAGCCGGCCUGAGAGGGUGGACGGUCACACUGGGACUGAGACACGGCCCAGACUCCUACGGGAGGCAGCAGUGGGGAAUAGUGCACAAUGGGCGCAAGCCUGAUGCAGCGACGCCGCGUGAGGGAUGGAGGCCUGCGGGUUGUGAACCUCUUUCGCCAGUGAAGCAGGCCUGCCUCGUUUGUGGGUGGGUUGACGGUAGCUGGAUAAGAAGCGCCGGCUAACUACGUG